GGUUAAAUAACAUAACAGGCUAAUGUGUUAGAUUGCAAAUCUUAAAAUACUGGUUCAAGUCCAGUUUUAACUU
This 73-nucleotide transfer RNA is filed under the name Navicula ramosissima. Its description in RNAcentral is "tRNA-Cys". It matches the Rfam family "tRNA". From Rfam's summary of the family: Transfer RNA (tRNA) molecules are approximately 80 nucleotides in length. Their secondary structure includes four short double-helical elements and three loops (D, anti-codon, and T loops). Further hydrogen bonds mediate the characteristic L-shaped molecular structure. tRNAs have two regions of fundamental functional importance: the anti-codon, which is responsible for specific mRNA codon recognition, and the 3' end, to which the tRNAs corresponding amino acid is attached (by aminoacyl-tRNA synthetases). tRNAs cope with the degeneracy of the genetic code in two manners: having more than one tRNA (with a specific anti-codon) for a particular amino acid; and 'wobble' base-pairing, i.e. permitting non-standard base-pairing at the 3rd anti-codon position. Lineage: Eukaryota; Bacillariophyta; Bacillariophyceae; Naviculales; Naviculaceae. The record is from RNAcentral.